GAUGAAACGCUGGCGGCGUGCCUAAUACAUGCAAGUAGAACGCUGAAAGCUUGGUGCUUGCACCGAGCGGAUGAGUUGCGAACGGGUGAGUAACGCGUAGGUAACCUGCCUCUUAGCGGGGGAUAACUAUUGGAAACGAUAGCUAAUACCGCAUAGAAGUCGACAUUGCAUGAUGUUGAUUUGAAAGGUGCAAUUGCAUCACUAAGAGAUGGACCUGCGUUGUAUUAGCUAGUUGGUGAGGUAACGGCUCACCAAGGCGACGAUACAUAGCCGACCUGAGAGGGUGAUCGGCCACACUGGGACUGAGACACGGCCCAGACUCCUACGGGAGGCAGCAGUAGGGAAUCUUCGGCAAUGGGGGCAACCCUGACCGAGCAACGCCGCGUGAGUGAAGAAGGUUUUCGGAUCGUAAAGCUCUGUUGUAAGAGAAGAACGAGUGUGAGAGUGGAAAGUUCACACUGUGACGGUAACUUACCAGAAAGGGACGGCUAACUACGUGCCAGCAGCCGCGGUAAUACGUAGGUCCCGAGCGUUAUCCGGAUUUAUUGGGCGUAAAGCGAGCGCAGGCGGUUAGAUAAGUCUGAAGUUAAAGGCUGUGGCUUAACCAUAGUACGCUUUGGAAACUGUUUAACUUGAGUGCAGAAGGGGAGAGUGGAAUUCCAUGUGUAGCGGUGAAAUGCGUAGAUAUAUGGAGGAACACCGGUGGCGAAAGCGGCUCUCUGGUCUGUAACUGACGCUGAGGCUCGAAAGCGUGGGGAGCAAACAGG
RNAcentral lists this ribosomal RNA (767 nucleotides) under uncultured Streptococcus sp. RNAcentral's name for it is "bacterial SSU rRNA". It matches the Rfam family "Bacterial small subunit ribosomal RNA", at positions 28 to 776 of the family's 1533-position model. Lineage: Bacteria; Bacillati; Bacillota; Bacilli; Lactobacillales; Streptococcaceae. The record is from RNAcentral.